Molecule: ribosomal RNA, 308 nt
Filed under: uncultured fungus
Lineage: Eukaryota; Fungi
Description: LSU rRNA
Rfam family: Eukaryotic large subunit ribosomal RNA
Source: RNAcentral
AACAAGUACAGUGAUGGAAAGAUGAAAAGAACUUUGAAAAGAGAGUGAAAAAGUACGUGAAAUUGUUGAAAGGGAAGGGCAUUUGAUCAGACAUGGUGUUUUGUGCCCUCUGCUCCUUGUGGGUAGGGGAAUCUCGCAUUUCACUGGGCCAGCAUCAGUUUUGGUGGCAGGAUAAAUCCAUAGGAAUGUAGCUUGCCUCGGUAAGUAUUAUAGCCUGUGGGAAUACUGCCAGCUGGGACUGAGGACUGCGACGUAAGUCAAGGAUGCUGGCAUAAUGGUUAUAUGCCGCCCGUCUUGAAACACGGACC